GACUGAUGGGACAGUGUGCCGCAUACACAAUGGAAUUUGUUACCUUGAAAAGUGAUUACGUGGAUUCGUCCUGAAUGAGCAAAUAUGAUUGGUUGAUGAAAAUGGCAAUGGGAUUUUUCAUAAAAUCCCAGAAAUACCUGUUUUUUUCAUUUAUAAGACAGCAGCGUACGAUGUAGUGAAAUAACGUUAAACAUCCCCAGGACGAAUCGGCUGUAAUAUAUAAAAUACUUAAUUGUCCUUAGGAAUUAGUUACUAGAUUAACUACGUGCAUUGUUUUGUAUGAAAAACUAAUUUAUAAACAAUGGUGGCUUUAGAAAUAAUCGUAAUAGGUGGAAUAGUUGUUUUCGGUAUAUUCGGCAUAAUAGCUGUAUGCCUCAGUGGAAAAAUCCAAGGAAGACCGAGCUAUGGGAAAUCUAAUGACACAAACUAAAAAAGGUUGCUGAUGGAUUGUUAUUGAGAUCAUGGAAUUCACAAAACAAAUGUACUGACACUACCUGUACUGACACUACCUGUACUGACACUACCUGUUUGGGACACCAGUUUAGAUGUCAACAACACACAACUGGUAAUUUGGAAAGAAGUAUCAUCAUUUUGAAAUUUAAUGUCAGCAGUUUGUUUAAGAGCAGCAGUGAAGGAUCUGUUUUCAAACUUAUGAAUAUUUAACUCAGAACACGUCAUCAGCGAAUUUCAUAUCAACGGAACAAAAUGGACAUAUCAAUCUUGUGGACGAAGCUGCUGUAUUAUUUGUUUUUAUAUGGGAUAAAUAAACCACUUGCUGUUUUAUCACCUAUAGAUUAUACUAUUAGUGUGUAACGCCAUUUUAUCUAUUACUGAUCCAACCAUUGUCUUUUCAUUGACCAUCAUUAAACUGAAUUGCAAUAAAUAAAAGUAAUAUUCAAUUACA
Long non-coding RNA from Pecten maximus, 904 nucleotides. RefSeq lists it as uncharacterized. The record is from RefSeq and is a predicted model, not a curated record. NCBI's taxonomy places the organism in Eukaryota, Metazoa, Mollusca, Bivalvia, Pectinida, Pectinidae. The transcript is spliced from 2 exons.